UGGGGAAUAUUGCACAAUGGGCGCAAGCCUGAUGCAGCCAUGCCGCGUGUGUGAAGAAGGCCUUCGGGUUGUAAAGCACUUUCAGCGAGGAGGAAGGUGGUGAGCUUAAUACGCUCAUCAAUUGACGUUACUCGCAGAAGAAGCACCGGCUAACUCCGUGCCAGCAGCCGCGGUAAUACGGAGGGUGCAAGCGUUAAUCGGAAUUACUGGGCGUAAAGCGCACGCAGGCGGUUUGUUAAGUCAGAUGUGAAAUCCCCGGGCUCAACCUGGGAACUGCAUUUGAAACUGGCAAGCUAGAGUCUCGUAGAGGGGGUAGAAUUCCAGGUGUAGCGGUGAAAUGCGUAGAGAUCUGGAGGAAUACCGGUGGCGAAGGCGGCCCCCCUGGACGAAGACUGACGCUCAGGUGCG
This 408-nucleotide ribosomal RNA is filed under the name uncultured bacterium. Its description in RNAcentral is "partial 16S ribosomal RNA". It matches the Rfam family "Bacterial small subunit ribosomal RNA", at positions 355 to 755 of the family's 1533-position model. The record is from RNAcentral.